UUGAUGAUUGAAAGUUGUGCG
Caenorhabditis elegans is the source of this 21-nucleotide non-coding RNA. NCBI's taxonomy places the organism in Eukaryota, Metazoa, Nematoda, Chromadorea, Rhabditida, Rhabditidae. The record is from Ensembl.